AAAGUCAUGUAUUUCAUGCUUGCAUGAAGAUACAUGACCUUGCAACCCGCAAAACAUGAGAAUGUAGCCCGUCAGGGUGGAAUUCGAAUGUUUUUAGGAUUUCGGGAGCACGAAGUGCGGAGAAAUCCGU
Molecule: small RNA, 130 nt
Filed under: uncultured Mediterraneibacter sp.
Lineage: Bacteria; Bacillati; Bacillota; Clostridia; Lachnospirales; Lachnospiraceae
Description: Clostridiales-1 RNA
Rfam family: Clostridiales-1 RNA
Source: RNAcentral